CCCUACAUCAGGUUAAGGGCCCUAAAUCCCGGUUAAAUGUUAAACAGAAUGGCGUCCAAUAGCACAAACAAUGAGGCGGUAAGCUUAGAAGCAGCUAUCCGUUAAAAAAAGCGUAACAGCUUACUCAUCGAGUUGUUGGGCCCAGAAAAUGGACGGGGCUAAACCGGGUCCCGAUACCUGAUUGAACUUCAUAAGAGUUUUAGGUAGGGGGGCGACCGGGUUGGGUAGAAGCUGGGGAGUGAUUCCCAGUGGACCGAUCUGGUUUGCAGAUCUCGGUGGUAGUAGGAGCAUAGUGAGGUGAGAAUCCUCACCGCCGGAAGCCCAAGGGUUCCUUGGCAAUGUUCGUCAGCCAAGGGUUAGUCGGUCCUAAGGUCGGUCUUAAAACGAGCCGAUCGAAAGGGGAACAGGUUCAUAUUCCUGUACCACGCAUAUAGACGCGGCGACGCAAGCUCUGAGCUAACGCUGGUGGGUAGGUGACCUAGGAGAAUAUCCUAGUUAAAUUUCGAAAUCUGGGGAGAACCGUU
Molecule: ribosomal RNA, 524 nt
Filed under: Methanosarcinales archaeon
Lineage: Archaea; Methanobacteriati; Methanobacteriota; Methanomicrobia; Methanosarcinales
Description: partial 23S ribosomal RNA
Rfam family: Archaeal large subunit ribosomal RNA
Source: RNAcentral